Molecule: long non-coding RNA, 782 nt
Filed under: Arabidopsis thaliana (thale cress)
Lineage: Eukaryota; Viridiplantae; Streptophyta; Magnoliopsida; Brassicales; Brassicaceae
Description: ncRNA (AT1G08037)
Source: RNAcentral
ACAAAGUAGAAGAACAUGUCAAGUUUUCUCAAAUCGCACCAAACUCAGUAACAUACAAAAAAAAAAAACAAAUUUUUGGAUUUACGACGAAGGGUAUGACAUCAGCCCUGAAGCUUCAGUAACCGCCGCAGCUUCUUCAUCAAGAAACAAAUUAUCACUUCUUCUAACCGCCGCAUGAAUCAGAACCAACACGGCGGCGGUUAACAAAGAUCCCAGAAUAUUCGAAGUAGCGUGAGUCAACAAAAGCAUCACAACCGUCAAAACCGAUAAACCAAUAAGAACCGUCCGAUCAUCAAUCUGAUAACCAAAAACAACAAGAGGCUCGUCACGGAGGAAAUAGAGAAAGAUCCAGAAGACGACCAAGAUUGAUAACACGAUCAACGAGGUUGGGUGAUAUAGAAGGCUUAGGAAGAGGAUGAAGAGAACUCCGAUGGCGUAAUUAGCUCUGAAAUAGCCGAGAUUCGUUUUGAUCCUCGAGAUCGCGUCGAAGAAACCGUGAGGGAGAGUCAUUGAUUCGAAAUCGAACAUUGAUUUCCAUGGGCGGCGCGUAGCUAGACCGGAUUUUAUACGGUGUUUGGCGCGUGAGAUGUAUUCGAGAUCUAUCGCCGGUGAUGGAUGAGACGACGUCGGAAUCGCCCCGUAGUUCGUCAUUUUUGGAGAAGAGAGACACGAAGCUUUUUUUUUUGUUGGUUGUAAUAAUUUAUAAAUUGCUCAGUGUCCCUAUGGAUUAGGUGAUGGUGCUAAUGUAAAUGUCACAUAUGGAUAAAAGUUGUUACAUGCCC